Molecule: long non-coding RNA, 449 nt
Filed under: Aotus nancymaae (Ma's night monkey)
Lineage: Eukaryota; Metazoa; Chordata; Mammalia; Primates; Aotidae
Description: lncRNA (ENSANAG00000039556.1)
Source: RNAcentral
UGAGAACAAAAAUAACUUGAAUUUUUUUUUUUUUGCCUUCUAGAAUUGGAGUUAUAAUGAGUGAAACAAGAUAAUUCCUGAAGAAGCAUACUCGAAAAAAAGUCUAUAAAGAUAACGAGCAAAUCACUAGAAGUAAAUUUGAAGAGGAUUGGAUUUGGAGUCAGAAGACCUGCACUCCAGCUGAGCGCAGUGGCUCACGCCUGUAAUCCCUGCACUUUGGGAGGCCAAGGCAGGUGGAUCACUUGAGGUCAGGAGUUUGAGACCAGCCUGGCCAAUGUGGUGAAACCCUGUCUCUACUAAAAAGCAAACAUUAGCUGGAUGUGGUGGCAUGUGCCUGUAGUCCCAGCUACUCAGGAGGCUGAGGCAGGAGAAUUGCUUUGAACCUGGGAGGCAGAGGUUGCAGUGAGCUGAGAUCGCGCCACUGCACUCCAGCCUGGGCGACAGAGUGA